This 468-nucleotide ribosomal RNA is filed under the name uncultured bacterium. Its description in RNAcentral is "partial 16S ribosomal RNA". It matches the Rfam family "Bacterial small subunit ribosomal RNA", at positions 28 to 507 of the family's 1533-position model. The record is from RNAcentral.
GACGAACGCUGGCGGCGUGCUUAACACAUGCAAGUCGAACGGAAAGGCCCUGCUUUUGUGGGGUGCUCGAGUGGCGAACGGGUGAGUAACACGUGAGUAACCUGCCCUUGACUUUGGGAUAACUUCAGGAAACUGGGGCUAAUACCGGAUAGGAGCUCCUGCUGCAUGGUGGGGGUUGGAAAGUUUCGGCGGUUGGGGAUGGACUCGCGGCUUAUCAGCUUGUUGGUGGGGUAGUGGCUUACCAAGGCUUUGACGGGUAGCCGGCCUGAGAGGGUGACCGGCCACAGUGGGACUGAGAUACGGACCAGACUCAUACGGGAGGCAGCAGUGGGGAAUAUUGCACAAUGGGCGGAAGCCUGAUGCAGCAACGCCGCGUGCGGGAUGACGGCCUUCGGGUUGUAAACCGAUUUCGCCUGUGACGAAGCGUGAGUGACGGUAAUGGGUAAAGAAGCACCGGCUAACUACGUG